CUUAAAAUUACCUCCAGGAGGCAAUUUCUAAUAAUCAUACGAAAUAAAACAUUGAAUUAGUUUGCAGGUUUUCACAUAUCAGCGCCUAAGGAGCUGCUUAUCUGUUAUUGUCUGCUUUCAAACAGGAACCAGAGACCACUCGCUAUGAAGCUGUUACUGUCUGCCUCAACCAGGAAAACGCUGUGAGAACGCUGAAUUCUAAAGGCCACAUAUCUAUACUGGGAAGGCCCAAAGGUCAGCUGUGGAAGCCAAGAAGUCUAUGCCAGCAGGGUGAGGGAGCUGUGCUGGUGGGAUGAGGGUUCUAUGCUGGAGCCAAGAAG
This 320-nucleotide long non-coding RNA is filed under the name Cavia porcellus (domestic guinea pig). RNAcentral's name for it is "lncRNA (ENSCPOG00000034658.1)". Lineage: Eukaryota; Metazoa; Chordata; Mammalia; Rodentia; Caviidae. The record is from RNAcentral.